CCCUUAGAUGUCCGGGGCCGCACGCGCGCUACACUGUAGAUCGCAGCGAGUGUCGUACCUGUCCUUCCCGUAGCCGGGUGGGUAAACCAUUGAAAGAUCGAACGUGGCUUGGGAUCGGGCCUUGAAAUUAUUGCCCGUGAACGAGGAAUUCCCAGUAAGCGCGAGUCAUAAGCUGGCGUUGAUUACGUCCCUGCCCUUUGUACACACCGCCCGUCGCUACUACCGAUUGGACGGUUUAGCGAGGCCCUCGGAUCGGUACCAGGAUUCUUAACCGAGUCACUGGCAACCGAGAAGGCGGUCGAACUUGACCGUCUAGAGGAAGUAAAAGUCGUAACA
Molecule: ribosomal RNA, 336 nt
Filed under: uncultured eukaryote
Lineage: Eukaryota
Description: partial 18S ribosomal RNA
Rfam family: Eukaryotic small subunit ribosomal RNA
Source: RNAcentral